AUUUCGAUUAAUAAUAAUAGUGAAAAUCAUGUUUCAAUCAUUAUUUUUCAGAUAAAAAGCUGCCGUUUUCUUCUUCCGAAAGAGAGCUGCUGAUUGUAGCUUAAUAAGAGAAAGGCCUAUUAUUGAAGACAAGCAUAUUAUUAUCCUCUCUAAAAUAUCGAGUUGACGAAGCAGGCCUGGGAAACUCUAACAGUGGCUUACAAUUCUCAACCAUAUUUUAUGUUUCACAAAGGCUCACACAUCAACUGAAAAGCUGCUGGAAUAAUUUAAAGACCCAAAGAAUGAAAGAACUUUCUCAGGAAUCAAUCAAACGUUCUCAACACCCACUAGUAGGUAUCAAGAAAUUAAGAUUAGUAGUAGCAAGAAUGAAGAUUAAGACAGAAACAAGAAUCAAACGCACCACAUUGAAUAAUAUAUAACAAGACCAGGCUUUGCACGAGUUGGGGCUACAAAGAGAAAAAAUAUUGAUAGAAAGAGAAAACAAUUUGUUAGAACAUGAAAAAAAGCUUUAUGAUUUACAAAUACAUACAAUUAAAUUAGACAUUGAAGAUUGAUGAAAAUAAAACUUUAUUAAAAAUUUUAUGUUUUAUUUGCCACUAGCAACUGAUACAUUAUGUAGGUGGCACUGGAAGGCCUCCUCGCAGUUAAUUUCCUCAGGUCUUCUUUUAUCAGUGGUAAAAGUAUGAAAAGUACCCCA
Ostrinia furnacalis (Asian corn borer) is the source of this 697-nucleotide long non-coding RNA. RefSeq lists it as uncharacterized. The record is from RefSeq and is a predicted model, not a curated record. The transcript is spliced from 2 exons. Lineage: Eukaryota; Metazoa; Arthropoda; Insecta; Lepidoptera; Crambidae.